GAUUCUCAAUGAGCAAGAGAAGAUGAGGGAAGGUGCUAGAAGCCAGGCCCAGGAAGGUUCCUCAGGUUAAUUCUCACGUAGCAGGCUGCGGAUCCUCAGCAGGUUUUUCUCCUGUGCCGACAGCUUCCUUGGGUCUGGAUAGACAGACAACUCAUCACUGGCUGUUCCCGCAGACUGGCUCCGGGCCUGGCCCAAUUGCUUCUCAAGCUCUUGAACCUGAGGAUGGUAAAACUCGUCGUUCCACAAUGGGUCUUCUGCCAGCCUCUUCUACUCAGAAGUGUGAUAGGAGACCCCACAGACUGAAGAUGGAACCACCUCUCUAGAUGGCUGUGGUAGCCCCAUCUGAGGAGGACUAGGGGUGGGGGACAAUCUGAGCUGGCAUCUUGAGCAACACAUUGGAAGACACCAGGAAAGUUCAGCUUAGAAAAAUGGUGUGAAGAUGAAGACAUAGGAAGAUGAAGGGGUUUGCCCAAGGUCAGAGUUGGCAGACCGGUGGCCAAACGUAAACUCAGGUCUCUUGAACCCCAAGGCCAUGCACUAUCAUCUAUUAGCUUCUUGGAGUUUUUCCCCCUUUAUAUUGGCUUCAAGGAUCCCAUGGGAGACACUGAAGAUAAAAGCCACUGUGACCCUCGAAGUCCCUGGGAACAAGGGUGAUAUGCUUGGCAAAUGGUGGAAGUCAUACACCUUCUCACAUGUUUCUCAGUUUGAAGGGACAAAGGGAAAAGAACCACACCUAACUUUUAUACAGUGCUUCCUCCAUGCCAGGCCCUGUGCUGAGCAUUUUACAAGUAUUGACUCAAUUCUCCCAACAAUCCUGUGGGGUAGGCAUCGUUAUUAUCCCCAUUAUACAGAUGAGGAAACUGAGGCACAGAGCUAAAGGAACUUGCUUAAGGUCACACAGCUGGUGAGUGGAGAGCUGGGAUUUGAAUCUGAGCAGUGUGGCUCCAGAGCCCCUGCUGUUAGCUGCUUUUGGUAUGCUCCAAAAUAUUCAGACAAUAAAGAGGGAGACAAGGCUAAAUUUUUAUUGGGUAAUUAAACUUUCAAAAGACUACAAGCAUCUGGACAAAACUGGAAAAAGCUUACAAUUACAACAGUCACGCAAAUCUACAUAAACUAAGAAAAAAAAAA
Homo sapiens (human) is the source of this 1128-nucleotide long non-coding RNA. Ensembl annotates it as CCDC13 antisense RNA 1. Its record names the gene CCDC13-AS1. The record is from Ensembl. NCBI's taxonomy places the organism in Eukaryota, Metazoa, Chordata, Mammalia, Primates, Hominidae.